Molecule: transfer RNA, 73 nt
Filed under: Stegodyphus mimosarum
Lineage: Eukaryota; Metazoa; Arthropoda; Arachnida; Araneae; Eresidae
Rfam family: tRNA
About the family: Transfer RNA (tRNA) molecules are approximately 80 nucleotides in length. Their secondary structure includes four short double-helical elements and three loops (D, anti-codon, and T loops). Further hydrogen bonds mediate the characteristic L-shaped molecular structure. tRNAs have two regions of fundamental functional importance: the anti-codon, which is responsible for specific mRNA codon recognition, and the 3' end, to which the tRNAs corresponding amino acid is attached (by aminoacyl-tRNA synthetases). tRNAs cope with the degeneracy of the genetic code in two manners: having more than one tRNA (with a specific anti-codon) for a particular amino acid; and 'wobble' base-pairing, i.e. permitting non-standard base-pairing at the 3rd anti-codon position.
Source: Rfam by way of RNAcentral
GCCUUCGUGGUGUAGUGGUCAGCACACUCGACGCUUAUUCGAGACAUCCGUGGUUCGAGUCCCACCGAGGUCA